ACUAAUGUAGUUUAUCAAAAACAUUUGAUUUCGACUCAAAAGAACUGGACAACUCAGCAAUAGU
This 64-nucleotide transfer RNA is filed under the name Xenoturbella monstrosa. RNAcentral describes it as "tRNA-Arg". Lineage: Eukaryota; Metazoa; Xenacoelomorpha; Xenoturbellidae. The record is from RNAcentral.